Long non-coding RNA from Panthera uncia (snow leopard), 1119 nucleotides. RefSeq lists it as uncharacterized. The transcript has 2 exons. NCBI's taxonomy places the organism in Eukaryota, Metazoa, Chordata, Mammalia, Carnivora, Felidae. The record is from RefSeq and is a predicted model, not a curated record.
GGCAGCACCAAAUAUUAACAAAGAUAUGGCCCAGCUGGAACUCUCAUUGAUUGCUCUAGGAUUCUAAAAUUUUAGAAAAUAUUUAGCUGUUUUUAUAAAACUCAACUCAACUGUCUACCUCAAAGUAUUUACUAUGAGAGAUGAGAACACCUAUGAACGCUUAUAUACAUGUAUAUUCAUAGCAGUCUUAUUCAUAAGUUUAAAGACUGGGAACAACCCAAAUGUCCAUCAAUAAGAAAAUGUGUACAUAAAUUUGGGUGUAUUUAUACAAAGGAAUAGUACUCAGGAGCAAAAAUAAAUGAGCUUCUGAUAACAUGAAAUAACAUGAAUAGAUGUCAAAAAGGGUAUAUUUGAACAAAAAAAAAUACUUAAAUACAGGCAUGAAAGAGUACAUACUGUAUAAUUCUGUUUAUAUGAAAUUCUAAAAAGUCAAAACUGGCCUAUACUGAUAGAGAAUAGAACAAUGGUUGCCUGAGGUAAAGGAUUAUCUGUAAAUAGACACAAGUGUACUUUUCAGCAGUAAUGAAAAUUUCUUGAUGGUGCUGGUGGCUGCCUGGGUGUAUACAUUGUCAAAGCUCAUUGAGCUGAUACACUUUAUUUUAUUUUUUUUUAAUUUUUUUUUUAACAUUUAUUUAUUUUUGAGACAGAGACAGAGCAUGAACGGGGCAGGGGCAGAGAGAGAGGGAGACACAGAAUCGGAAGCAGGCUCCAGGCUCAGAGCCUGACACGGGGCUCUAACUCACGGACCGCAAGAUCGUGACCUGAACUGAAGUCGGACGCUCAACCGACUGAGCCACCCAGGCGCCCCUGAUACACUUUAAAAGGGUGCAUUUUAUUAAAGACGUGUCAAGUAAGAAGUUGCUGCGGCCAAGGUCAAAGAGGUUGCUACCUGUGUUCUCCUGUAAGGAUUUUGAUGGUUUCCUGUCUCACAUUUAGGUCUUUCAGCCACUUUGAAUUUAUUUUUGUGAAGAGUACACUUAUCUUGAUAAGCAAUGACUAAUACAUGGAAUUCUUAAAUCACUAUACUGUACACCUGAAAGGAAUAUAAAAUUGUAUGUUAGCUAUACUGGAAUUGAGAUAAAAUGAAAUAAAUUCCUGUUCUCCUAUUUGCACCUUGAA